ACGAUUUUACCCUUUCUGCGCGCCUAAUCGCAUGGGCUAUGCGCCUCGUGUUUUUUCGAACUGCCCAAUCCUUUCGUAUGUAAAUUAACAACCCCCCGAUAGAACUCUUGACCGCUAAAGCUAAUCAGCCUUACAUGAGUUAACUGUAAACAACAAACAAGGCUGCGGCAGGCAUUUAUUUCUUGCGACGCCAGCACUGGCAGCAUGCGGACGUCACUUGCGGAUCUCGCGUGUUGUCUCUCCGUGGAAAUCGACGUCGUUCCGGCGGCGUAAAACUACGCGGUAAAGUUCGCCAAAGUUCGCGAAAGCGGUUAGCCUUGGCCGCUGCGACAUAACCGCACGUACGGACAAACAGUCGCCGCACGGUUGUCUUCGCAGGCCGCCGCGUUUUCACAUUUGCCUUCGUUUGGGGGAUCAUCCGAGAGUCGCGUGUUUUGGCAGCCGCUGCGCUACGGUAGACGAACAACGAGGCCAUGGUGGUAAAUGUAAUCACAGGCAUCGGCAUUGGUGUCGGGAUAGUGAUCGCGGUAGUGCUGCUUGGAAUCAUCUGCCGCUUCUGCCGCUCAUCAGACAAGCACAUGAUUCCCGUGAAGUACAAAAAGCAUAAAAAGAACAAACGUGGUAGUGUUGGGUCCGGCUCGUACUACCCUCCUGGUGGUUGGUCUUCUGACAUUGGCCACUCCAGCAGUGACGAAGAAGCCCGCCGUGGUGCCGACAGUGGCCACGAGAGUAUUGGCCAUGAUAGUGGAGAGCGUGACAGCGGAGGCCACAACAGUGGUGGCCACGACAGUAACUGUCAUUACAGCGGUGAAGGUGGCUGCAGCAGUGGCGGAGGUGGCGAUAGUGGGGGGGCAGGUUGUGACAGUGGCGGGGGAGGUUGUGACAGCGGCGGUGGCGCUGACUGACUGACGAAGCGUGUGAAACGUUUGUUGAUUGGUCUUCCUCCUUUGCUGCUCGUCGAAUCAUCUCAGUGAAGUGAAGGAAAAAAAGUGACUCUCGGCAUAUUUCAAAUGUAAUAGUGAGCAACUUGACUGUUGCGUCACAAUAUGUACGAAUCUCAUUGUGUUUCUUAACAGCACUAAUUCUGUAAGUAAUAGUGCAUUGGCUUUGUAAGUUUGGUGUGUGCAUUUGUGCAGCUGCUCAGUGUUA
Molecule: long non-coding RNA, 1149 nt
Organism: Rhipicephalus microplus (southern cattle tick)
Lineage: Eukaryota; Metazoa; Arthropoda; Arachnida; Ixodida; Ixodidae
Source: RefSeq, a predicted model, not a curated record